Long non-coding RNA from Numida meleagris (helmeted guineafowl), 1620 nucleotides. NCBI's taxonomy places the organism in Eukaryota, Metazoa, Chordata, Aves, Galliformes, Numididae. The record is from Ensembl.
AUGCUGCUCCUGCUGAUGCUGCAGGUGUCCCCUUUUCCCACCGGGACACAUACACAAGGUCUGCCUCAAACUCUUGCUGGGACAGAACCAAAGCUACCUGCAGCAUGCAAGGAGGGUCUAAUUGGCUCAAACAGCCCCAGGCUGUACUAUGGGAGCACAUAUCCCUAUAGUACAUGGAGUCACCGAGGUGAGCAUCUCCAGCGCCUGCGGUGCCCUGCUGUGCCAGAUAGCAUCUGCACCACGGGGACAUGUGCGGCGGCUGGAGCAUGUGGGCAGCGGGAUCUGGCUUUGCUCAGCACCAUUAAUCACACUCUGUUUGAUCCCGAGUGGGGUGGCUGCAAGGGGCUGUGCGCAUCGGGGUGUGUGUUGUGCUUUCUCAGCUUUUCAACUUGGCCGUGUUUGGCGGCAGCAGACAGAGCACAGGGUUGCAGGGCUGUGCCAGCCAGGCUUUAUGCAGUGUCACAUGCUGCGUGCGGCUGUCCCCAGGCCAGGGUGGGCACUUGGCUCCAGGGGGGCUCUUUGCUCUGUGCUUUUGGUGCUUCCCCACAUCAUGUGCUGGAAACUUUCCAUGCUCACUCAGGGAGCCCAGUAUGUGCCUUCGCUCCAUCCAGUGCAGGGAUGAAGCCGACCUGUGCUGGGGCACGGGCUGCUGAGCCAUCCCCUGCAUGGGGAUGGCGGAAGCAGCGGGAAUCACACCAUCUCUCAGCACACAAUUGCUCCCAUUCCCUCCAGAGCUGCGCAGAUACAGCUCUGAGGUCUGGCUUUGCCCUUCUCCCGAGCUCCCUCGCUGUCCCAUCUCCCAUCCCUCCAGGACUCCGUACUAUCUGCACAAGGCAAGGAGCAGCCCUGGGCUCUGUGCUGGCCUGGAAGAGAAAUCCCAGAUCCCCCCCAGACCCUUCCACAGCACAUGGCCAGAGGGACUGCAGCAGAAGCACCGUGUGGAGGUGCACAGGCAGGGAAAGGUUGCAAUCCCCCAGUCCUCUGCCCUACUCCCGCUGUCUUUCCCCAUUUCCAGCAGCGGCUUUGCUCAGUGCCAGCAGACUGCUGAGACCUACCUGGAGCUGCACCUGGCUGCUGCAGGGCAGCCAGCCCUGUGCCUCUGUGCCACAGUGCCAUGGGCACAAGUACUCUGUGUCCUGCAUGUCACCACCUGCAAUGCUGAGUGCCAUCAGUGCCAUGUGUCCUGCACAUGUGCAUGGUUCCAUGCAUGCGUGCAGCCUGUGCCUUCCAUGCACUGAUGUCUUUGUGCGUGUGCUAAUCGUGGCUUCAGUGCUGUGCAUGUGUGCAAGCAAGGACCGCGUGCUGUGUGCAUGUCGUCCCAUGUGCGCUCAUCGUGCUACACGUGCUGCAAACCAGCCCAUGCAUCCCGCACAGGUGUUGCAUGCCAGGAGCGCACUUUUGGUGGGCUGCAGGUGCCCGUGUGUGGCUGGCAUGGCGCGUGUGCUUGCAGACAGGCUGGACCUGCCUAACGCGAGCCGAACGAACAAAACGUUCAGGUCAGGUCUUGCACGUGGGGCUCGACGCCAGGCAAGUGCAGAGUCGCUCCAGGCUGGGAGCUUCUGUGCCACAGGCUGCGGGGAGCCCCUUCCUCAUCCUUCCUCCCCAGCCGAGUCCCUCUAG